GUGCCAGUGUGACGUCUUCCUGCUUUUCCUCACUGGGACUUCCUGUGGCUGUGAUUGGCCAGUGGAGGUCACCUGACCCAGCCCCGCCCAUAACUGGAGGCGGAACGAACACUGCAGCGCUUCUUCACGAUCAUGUUGAUUCUCUUUGAAGACUCGGUCGUCGGGCUGUGCCACUGAACACAGGCUGUUGAGCACCAGAGUGCCGAGACGAGACGAGCUGCGCUCAGAUGAUUUAUAAUAAUCCAGAGAGUUCACCGUCAGAACAAACCAACGCUUCUUCAGCUUCAGAGACGAGCUCUUCAUACUCGACCUCAUCUCUUUAUGCAGCCAGCCUGAAAGAGACAGACAGUUCCUGUCUCGUCCGCUUUAGGUCCUGUCUCGUCCGCUUUAGGUCCUGUCUCACCUCUGACGAUGAAGUCCUGCCCGUCACUGCGUGCCUCUCCUCUG
Long non-coding RNA from Ictalurus furcatus (blue catfish), 447 nucleotides. RefSeq lists it as uncharacterized. NCBI's taxonomy places the organism in Eukaryota, Metazoa, Chordata, Actinopteri, Siluriformes, Ictaluridae. The transcript is spliced from 3 exons. The record is from RefSeq and is a predicted model, not a curated record.